RNAcentral lists this ribosomal RNA (253 nucleotides) under uncultured bacterium. Its description in RNAcentral is "partial 16S ribosomal RNA". It matches the Rfam family "Bacterial small subunit ribosomal RNA", at positions 524 to 776 of the family's 1533-position model. The record is from RNAcentral.
GACGAACCAUGCAAACGUUAUUCGGAAUUACUGGGCUUAAAGCGUGCGUAGGCGGCUCAGAAAGUUGGGUGUGAAAGCCCUCGGCUCAACCGAGGAAUUGCGCCCAAAACUACUGGGCUUGAGGGAGUUAGAGGUGAGCGGAACUCACGGUGGAGCGGUGAAAUGCGUUGAUAUCGUGAGGAACACCGGAGGCGAAAGCGGCUCACUGGGGCUUAUCUGACGCUGAGGCACGAAAGCUAGGGGAGCAAACGGG